AGAGUUUGAUCAUGGCUCAGAUUGAACGCUGGCGGCAGGCCUAACACAUGCAAGUCGAACGGUAACAGGAAGCAGCUUGCUGCUUCGCUGACGAGUGGCGGACGGGUGAGUAAUGUCUGGGAAACUGCCUGAUGGAGGGGGAUAACUACUGGAAACGGUGGCUAAUACCGCAUAACGUCGCAAGACCAAAGAGGGGGACCUUCGGGCCUCUUGCCAUCAGAUGUGCCCAGAUGGGAUUAGCUUGUUGGUGAGGUAACGGCUCACCAAGGCGACGAUCCCUAGCUGGUCUGAGAGGAUGACCAGCCACACUGGAACUGAGACACGGUCCAGACUCCUACGGGAGGCAGCAGUGGGGAAUAUUGCACAAUGGGCGCAAGCCUGAUGCAGCCAUGCCGCGUGUAUGAAGAAGGCCUUCGGGUUGUAAAGUACUUUCAGCGGGGAGGAAGGUGUUGUGGUUAAUAACCACAGCAAUUGACGUUACCCGCAGAAGAAGCACCGGCUAACUCCGUGCCAGCAGCCGCGGUAAUACGGAGGGUGCAAGCGUUAAUCGGAAUUACUGGGCGUAAAGCGCACGCAGGCGGUCUGUCAAGUCGGAUGUGAAAUCCCCGGGCUCAACCUGGGAACUGCAUUCGAAACUGGCAGGCUUGAGUCUUGUAGAGGGGGGUAGAAUUCCAGGUGUAGCGGUGAAAUGCGUAGAGAUCUGGAGGAAUACCGGUGGCGAAGGCGGCCCCCUGGACAAAGACUGACGCUCAGGUGCGAAAGCGUGGGGAGCAAACAGGAUUAGAUACCCUGGUAGUCCACGCCGUAAACGAUGUCUACUUGGAGGUUGUGCCCUUGAGGCGUGGCUUCCGGAGCUAACGCGUUAAGUAGACCGCCUGGGGAGUACGGCCGCAAGGUUAAAACUCAAAUGAAUUGACGGGGGCCCGCACAAGCGGUGGAGCAUGUGGUUUAAUUCGAUGCAACGCGAAGAACCUUACCUGGUCUUGACAUCCACGGAAGUCUUCAGAGAUGAGAAUGUGCCUUCGGGAACCGUGAGACAGGUGCUGCAUGGCUGUCGUCAGCUCGUGUUGUGAAAUGUUGGGUUAAGUCCCGCAACGAGCGCAACCCUUAUCCUUUGUUGCCAGCGGUUAGGCCGGGAACUCAAAGGAGACUGCCAGUGAUAAACUGGAGGAAGGUGGGGAUGACGUCAAGUCAUCAUGGCCCUUACGACCAGGGCUACACACGUGCUACAAUGGCGCAUACAAAGAGAAGCGACCUCGCGAGAGCAAGCGGACCUCAUAAAGUGCGUCGUAGUCCGGAUUGGAGUCUGCAACUCGACUCCAUGAAGUCGGAAUCGCUAGUAAUCGUGGAUCAGAAUGCCACGGUGAAUACGUUCCCGGGCCUUGUACACACCGCCCGUCACACCAUGGGAGUGGGUUGCAAAAGAAGUAGGUAGCUUAACCUUCGGGAGGGCGCUUACCACUUUGUGAUUCAUGACUGGGGUGAAGUCGUAACAAGGUAACCGUAGGGGAACCUGCGGUUG
Molecule: ribosomal RNA, 1522 nt
Filed under: Salmonella enterica subsp. enterica serovar Derby
Lineage: Bacteria; Pseudomonadati; Pseudomonadota; Gammaproteobacteria; Enterobacterales; Enterobacteriaceae
Description: bacterial SSU rRNA
Rfam family: Bacterial small subunit ribosomal RNA
Source: RNAcentral